Molecule: long non-coding RNA, 328 nt
Organism: Capsella rubella
Lineage: Eukaryota; Viridiplantae; Streptophyta; Magnoliopsida; Brassicales; Brassicaceae
Exons: 3
Source: RefSeq, a predicted model, not a curated record
UAGAAGAAGUAGUCGACACGUCAGCAGAACACCGAGAGGGGAACUGUGGUUAGUGGCUUCCUCUGCUCUGGCGGCGAUCAAUCGAAGAAAAGCUUGCAGUUUUACUUGGAGUAGAAGUUACUCAGAAGGUUUGACCUCACCUCCCAUCUUGAUGGAUUGAAGACUAAAGGAUCUUUAUACUUUUCUGGAUUCAAAUGUACAGCUGGUGGACAGACCAUCACCGCCCAGCCGGCUGGAAUGAAUCAUCCGUAAGAAACUUGAUAGCUAAAGUUAAAGCGAGAGAUGUUGUUUCGAAGCUGGCAAAUAGCAAGACAAACAUCAAAUCUAG